Small nuclear RNA from Diospyros lotus (date-plum), 111 nucleotides. RefSeq annotates it as U5 spliceosomal RNA. The transcript has a single exon. NCBI's taxonomy places the organism in Eukaryota, Viridiplantae, Streptophyta, Magnoliopsida, Ericales, Ebenaceae. The record is from RefSeq and is a predicted model, not a curated record.
CGGCCGCGCGGUGAGAGCAGAGCCAACUAUUCUUUCGCCUUUUACUAAAGAAUACCGUGCGCUCGCUGCGGCAUACGCCUAUUUUUGAAGGGUCUCUCCUAAUUGGAGACU